AGUGGGGGAGUAACCUAGCCGAAAGGUUAGCUAAUACCGCAUACGUCUCCGAGGGGCAUCCCUUGGCGAUAAAAGGAGCAAUCCGCUCGAUGACGGGACCGCGUCCCAUUAGCUAGAUGGUGGGGUAACGGCCUACCAUGGCACCGAUGGGUAGCUGGUUUGAGAGAGCGACCAGCCACACUGGGACUGAGAAACGGCCCAG
RNAcentral lists this ribosomal RNA (202 nucleotides) under uncultured bacterium. RNAcentral describes it as "partial 16S ribosomal RNA". It matches the Rfam family "Bacterial small subunit ribosomal RNA", at positions 135 to 334 of the family's 1533-position model. The record is from RNAcentral.